GAACGCGAAGAACCUUACCAGGUCUUGACAUCUGCAGAACCUCGUUGAAAGAUGAGGGUGCCUUCGGGAGCUGCAAGACAGGUGGUGCAUGGUUGUCGUCAGCUCGUGUCGUGAGAUGUUGGGUUAAGUCCCGCAACGAGCGCAACCCUUGCUAUUAGUUGCUAACAAGUUAAGUUGAGCACUCUAAUGGGACUGCCGGUGACAAGCCGGAGGAAGGUGGGGAUGACGUCAAAUCAUCAUGCCCUUUAUGAUCUGGGCUACACACGUGCUACAAUGGGCGGUACAAAGGGAAGCUAAGUCGUGAGGCGGAGCGGAUCCCAAAAAGCCGUUCUCAGUUCGGAUUGCAGGCUGCAACUCGCCUGCAUGAAGUCGGAAUCGCUAGUAAUCGCGAAUCAGCACGUCGGCGGUGAAUACGUUCCCGGGUCUUGUACACACCG
Molecule: ribosomal RNA, 437 nt
Filed under: uncultured bacterium
Lineage: Bacteria
Description: bacterial SSU rRNA
Rfam family: Bacterial small subunit ribosomal RNA
Source: RNAcentral